AUGAAAUCUAUGGGUACCUCAGUUUUCUCAUACAAAAAUAAGGAUAAUAAUAUCCUAUAGGGUUUUUUGAAGAUUAAGUGAGACUAUGCACAUAUGGGCCUCCAAAGAGAACCUGACUCACAGCCAUCACUCACUCUUGGACAUUGAAUGACUGACCAUGUGGAAGCUCCCAACUGAUUAGACCAAGGCUGAACAUCUGACUCCAGGUAACAAUUGGCGACCACAAAGGCACCCAGGGAGACCCCCAGCUUCCCUCAGCAUGAUCAGAGAUCAGUGCAUCAAUGUCUACACAAGACCGUUGAUGGUUCAGUUGUUUCCCUGACCUCACCCGGAGAACUUCAGGCCAGCGUGGAAAUCAACGUCUGGGGAGCUUGGAGCUCUUUGCAACCAACCUCCUUUAAAG
Long non-coding RNA from Lemur catta (Ring-tailed lemur), 403 nucleotides. RefSeq lists it as uncharacterized. NCBI's taxonomy places the organism in Eukaryota, Metazoa, Chordata, Mammalia, Primates, Lemuridae. The transcript is spliced from 4 exons. The record is from RefSeq and is a predicted model, not a curated record.